ACGAAGGGGGCUAGCGUUGUUCGGAUUUACUGGGCGUAAAGCGCACGCAGGCGGCGCCAUUAGUCAGAGGUGAAAUCCCUGGGCUUAACCUGGGAAUUGCCUUUGAUACUAUGGUGCUGGAGUCCAGAAGAGGAUGGCGGAAUACCCAGUGUAGAGGUGAAAUUCGUAGAUAUUGGGUAGAACACCGGUGGCGAAGGCGGCCAUCUGGUCUGGUACUGACGCUCAUGUGCGAAAGCGUGGGGAGCAAACAG
Molecule: ribosomal RNA, 251 nt
Filed under: uncultured prokaryote
Description: partial 16S rRNA
Rfam family: Bacterial small subunit ribosomal RNA
Source: RNAcentral